UUAAAAAUACCUUUGUGGCUAUGAAACAUCACUAAGAGUUGUCUUAAUGUCCUAAUUAAUGAGUGGGUCAGCUAUUAAUACCCAUCCAGAAAUGCAUAUGAUUGGUUUUUGGUGGAAUGAAAAAAUAAAAUAAAAACUGAACCAAAAAAGAAUGCUUUUGCUUCUGUAGUAAGCCAGGCCUCUGCUGCUUGUUGGUGCUAAUCCUGAUGAAGCAGGAUGCUCUAAGUCACCACUGCUCAAAUCAUGUCAUCACUGUCACCAGCCUGAGGUGCUUCAGUUCGCUCACGAUCCCUGUGGACCUCUGUCAGUUCUGCCUUCUUUAAAAAAAGCCUUGCUGUUUGUAGCCCUGGCUUCCCCCUGCAUUAAGCGUUAAGUAUUUUCACGUGAAGUGAAAUGUCGUGUUGCUGUCUUGUGUGUGUCUAGUUAAUAACCCAAGGCUCUUAAGACCCAGAGCAUUUCGAACGUUGUUAACAUGAGGUGGGUAUCAACUCAAGAAGGCAUGCACUGAUGCCUCCCAGUAGAGUUCUGCUCCAUCGUGUGUGUCCCGCUGGAUAUGUUAAUGACUGAUGCCACCAUUGUCCCUUGUCUUUGAGACUGGGUCUCAUGUAGCCCCGACUAGCCUUGAACCUGCUAUGUAACUGCGGAUGAUCUCUGGACUUUUGAUCCUCCUGCCUCCACUUCUCAAAGUGCUGGAAUUGCAGGCUUACACCAACAGUGCUGCCCAUUGAUCCCAGGGCUUCCUGGGCCCUCAGCAAGCACUCCACCCACCGAGAGAAAUUCAUGACCCACUGUUACCCAAAGAGUCAGGAAGCUAACUUUUAAGUAGUUACAUUUUGAAAUGCUGUGUGCAUGUCUGUAGGAGAUCUAUUAAAGCUAUGUAGUUCUGGAUUUUUAAAAUUGAUUGUCUAAACAUUCAGGAUGGGGUUUUAUGACAACUAUUUCCAGGCACCCGAUGUGCCUUUCGAGGGUGUAUAGCCAUCAACAAGAGUGAAAACAGACUUCUCAUUCAUACUGGUUUUCUGUCUAGCUUGCCUCCUCAACACACUCAUAUUGGGUAGCAAAUUCCUGAUCAGCAGCCACCCCAGCAGUGUGGGUACUACAGAAGUUCUGGGCGCUGCCUAAGGGAAGAGAGAAAAGAGCGCGGAGUUUGGAAUCAGACAAGCAUGGGUUAGAAUCUCAGCCCUGUGGUCCCCAGUUUCCCAGAGCGUAUAGCAGGAUCCAUUAUGUUGCGUUCCUAACUUGAAACCUUAGUUAGAUGAUGCAUGUAAUGAUACCUAACCUAUCAGAGAUGCUCGAUAAAUCUUCCAGUUUUGGGAUACCGGAGCUGGUGGACCCCAUGACUCCUGAAGACUUCCCCACAUUUGACACAGCAGUGUGUGGUUCUUUUCCUGAAACCUGUCAGUGCUACACUGUAGCAGUUAAGGGGCUGGACAUGUGGCUCAGUUGGUAAAGUGCCUGUGUAGCAUGCAGAAAACCCUGAGUUCAGCCCACAACUCCCUGUAUUUUGUAAAGUAUACACAAUUAGUCAUGCCUCUAAUACCAGCACUUGGGAGAUAGACGCGGGAGGAUCAGAAGUUAAAAGUCAUCUUUAGCUAUGUGGCAAAUUCAAGAACAGCCCGGGCUAUUCGAGACCCCGCAUCACACAAACUGCAGCAGCUACUGUAAACACUAGCACCCCAGGUCUCUCCAAAUGCCACCCACUAACACACAGUGAUUCGUGACCAUUCACUGGUUCUGCAGCGUGCACAUGCCAGCAGUUAGCUCAUUAAAACUUCCUCAGAGCACUAACAACAACCCCUCUUCCUGACAGGGAGGGGGCUUUGAGGCGACCCUGUCAUGAACCAGCAUGUUCCAGUCACACCCAGGGAUGGCUCUUUUGAACAUUUCCAGCCUUUCUCCCUCUUAGGUGUUCCCUGCAAGCUGAAAGGAAUUAUAAUUUUCCCCAGAUGCAGCCAAGUAGG
This 1961-nucleotide long non-coding RNA is filed under the name Mus musculus (house mouse). RNAcentral describes it as "long non-coding RNA chr7:49554769-49556730". The record is from RNAcentral. Lineage: Eukaryota; Metazoa; Chordata; Mammalia; Rodentia; Muridae.